RNAcentral lists this transfer RNA (74 nucleotides) under Patescibacteria group bacterium. RNAcentral describes it as "tRNA-Arg". It matches the Rfam family "tRNA". From Rfam's summary of the family: Transfer RNA (tRNA) molecules are approximately 80 nucleotides in length. Their secondary structure includes four short double-helical elements and three loops (D, anti-codon, and T loops). The record is from RNAcentral.
GUCCUGGUAGUUCAAUGGAAGAACGCCAGCCUUCUAAGCUGGUCAUGAAGGUUCGAUUCCUUCCCGGGACACCA